AGAGACACUGAUGCGAUUUUUCAAAACAAGUCGAAGUUCGAAGUCAUCAGCAUCACGAAAACUUAAAUCAGUCAACAUGAAAUUUUUGGCUAUCUUCGCUUUGGUUUUGUGCGUAUGCGCUUUGGCUUUUGCCGUCCCUCAAAAGCUGGUUGGCAGUGAAAAAUGCACCAGAGGCCCUGGCUAUUGGUGUAAGGACAGACAGACUGCCGAAGAAUGUAAAGCCGUUCAACAUUGUGAAACCAAAGUAUGGAAUAAAAACUAAUUCAGGCAGCUGAAUGGUUAAUCGUCAACAUAAUCGCAAGACCGAAAUUAAAUGCCAUAAAAUGCAGUGAAUUUUGUGAGUUUUAUUAUACAUUGUUUUGGUGUGGUUAAUAUACAUAAUGGAACUUUCGAAUCGAUUUUUAUUAUUAGUGCCCCAUUAGUUUAAGUUAUAGUGAAUUAGCAUUACGCUCAUGCUGUUAUUGUAGAGACCGCAUUGGCGUUUGCCGUCCCUCAGCAGCAAAAGCAGGGUGGCAGUGAAAGAUGCACCAGAGGCCCAAGCUAUUGGUGCAAGGACAAACAGACUGCCGAAGAGUGCAAAGCCGUUCAUCAUUGUGAAACCAAAGUAUGGAAUAAAAACGAAUUCAGGUAUUAACCAGCAACUUCAGAGAAUGGUUAAUUGACAACAUAAUCGCAAGAUCAGAAAGUAAAUGCCAUAAAAUGCGGUGGAUUUUGUGAGUUUUAUUAUACAUUGUUCUGGUGUGGUUAAUAUACGUAAUAUGGAACCUUC
Long non-coding RNA from Dendroctonus ponderosae (mountain pine beetle), 769 nucleotides. RefSeq lists it as uncharacterized. The transcript has 5 exons. The record is from RefSeq and is a predicted model, not a curated record. Lineage: Eukaryota; Metazoa; Arthropoda; Insecta; Coleoptera; Curculionidae.